UUGUUUGUAUUUCGACUGAACACAAAUGUUGUUAUCCAAGCGUAAAGUAUCUUUAGGCCUACAUGAUAUGGACGUGGAGACUGAGAGGACUGGAAUGGAGACACUAAUGUUCGUGUUCCGUCUGCAAAACGUGCUGAAAUGAAAUUAGGCGCCAACUUUCUCUGUCAAGUUUUUGUCAUGCUCAGAUGUAUUUAGCCCGAACACGGUGGCCGUCCCCGGACCCCGGUUAUUACAGCUGUACUCGCUAGAACAAGUGGACGUUGCGUUCAAAAGGAACAUGAUUCGAUUCAAACUAUGGUUAAGGAUAAAAACUCUGGUGUAAUGACCAUCUUGUCGCAUUGAUAGUCAAGUACCGUCAGUAACUUCUG
Patiria miniata (bat star) is the source of this 368-nucleotide long non-coding RNA. RefSeq lists it as uncharacterized. The transcript has 3 exons. The record is from RefSeq and is a predicted model, not a curated record. Lineage: Eukaryota; Metazoa; Echinodermata; Asteroidea; Valvatida; Asterinidae.